GACGAACGCUGGCGGCGUGCUUAACACAUGCAAGUCGAACGGAAAGGCCCUGCUUUUGUGGGGUGCUCGAGUGGCGAACGGGUGAGUAACACGUGAGUAACCUGCCCUUGACUUUGGGAUAACUUCAGGAAACUGGGGCUAAUACCGGAUAGGAGCUCCUGCUGCAUGGUGGGGGUUGGAAAGUUUCGGCGGUUGGGGAUGGACUCGCGGCUUAUCAGCUUGUUGGUGGGGUAGUGGCUUACCAAGGCUUUGACGGGUAGCCGGCCUGAGAGGGUGACCGGACACGUUGGGCUUGGAAUACGACCCAGCCCCGAACGGGAGGGAAGAGAGGGGAAGAGUGCAUUAUGGGCGGAAGCCUGGCGCGACAAAGCCGCGUGGGGGAUGACGGCCUGCGGGUUGUAAACCGAUUUCGCCUGUGACGAGGCGUGAGUGACGGUAAUGGGUAAAGAAGCACCGGCUAACUACGUG
This 468-nucleotide ribosomal RNA is filed under the name uncultured bacterium. Its description in RNAcentral is "partial 16S ribosomal RNA". It matches the Rfam family "Bacterial small subunit ribosomal RNA", at positions 28 to 507 of the family's 1533-position model. The record is from RNAcentral.